RNAcentral lists this ribosomal RNA (390 nucleotides) under uncultured bacterium. RNAcentral describes it as "bacterial SSU rRNA". It matches the Rfam family "Bacterial small subunit ribosomal RNA", at positions 30 to 416 of the family's 1533-position model. The record is from RNAcentral.
AUUGAACGCUGGCGGCAUGCUUUACACAUGCAAGUCGAACGGCAGCACGGGUGCUUGCACCUGGUGGCGAGUGGCGGACGGGUGAGUAAUGCAUCGGAACGUGUCCCUGAAGUGGGGGAUAACGCAUCGAAAGAUGUGCUAAUACCGCAUAUUCUCUGAGGAAGGAAAGUAGGGGAUCGAAAAGGCCUUAUGCUUUUGGAGCGGCCGAUGUCUGAUUAGCUAGUUGGUAGGGUAAUGGCUUACCAAGGCGACGAUCAGUAGUUGGUCUGAGAGGACGACCAGCCACACUGGGACUGAGACACGGCCCAGACUCCUACGGGAGGCAGCAGUGGGAAUUUUGGACAAUGGGUGCAAGCCUGAUCCAGCAAUGCCGCGUGAGUGAAGAAGGCC